Molecule: ribosomal RNA, 430 nt
Filed under: uncultured Acidobacteriota bacterium
Lineage: Bacteria; Pseudomonadati; Acidobacteriota
Description: bacterial SSU rRNA
Rfam family: Bacterial small subunit ribosomal RNA
Source: RNAcentral
GAAGGAAUUGUUCGCAAUGGGCGCAAGCCUGACGACGCAACGCCGCGUGGAGGAUGAAGACCCUCGGGUUGUAAACUCCUGUCGAGCGGGAAGAACGGCCCGCCGGUUAAUACCCGGCGGGCGUGACGGUACCGCUAAAGGAAGCCCCGGCUAACUCCGUGCCAGCAGCCGCGGUAAUACGGGGGGGGCGAGCGUUGUUCGGAUUUACUGGGCGUAAAGGGCUUACAGGCGGCCGCACGUGUCGGUUGUGAAAUCCCCGGGCUCAACCUGGGAACUGCAAUCGAAACUGGGCGGCUAGAAGCCGGGAGAGGGAUGCGGAAUUCCAGGUGUAGCGGUGAAAUGCGUAGAUAUCUGGAGGAACACCCGUGGCGAAGGCGGCAUCCUGGACCGGACUUGACGCUGACGAGCGAAAGCUAGGGUAGCAAACGGG